RNAcentral lists this long non-coding RNA (293 nucleotides) under Bos taurus (domestic cattle). RNAcentral's name for it is "long non-coding RNA NONBTAT010927". The record is from RNAcentral. Lineage: Eukaryota; Metazoa; Chordata; Mammalia; Artiodactyla; Bovidae.
GCAGGGGAGAAUUUGCAAAAGGAGUUAAGGAAAUGUUUAGCUUAUUAGAGUGGAGGCCAAAAUAGACAUUCAAGGAUUACUUUAGAAAAGCCACAGAAUGAGUGUGCUAAUUACUAACCCACAUGGGAAAACCACUGAAGUUCCCAAAGCUGUCAAGAGCAACUAAGUGGGAAGAGGUGAAGUAUUAAUGGGAGAUGGAGGUAGCUUCUUUCAGAAGAAGUGUAGAUCUUUGGUCCGGGAAAUGAUUGGGAGCCUCAAGGCAGUUAUUCCAGGUGUGUGAUUCUGACCUGUCU